UGAGGAACAUGACCUUCGGCGGGGGAUAGCCGGCCCAACGGCCGGGUAAUACCGCGUACGACCACAUGGGGACAUCCCUGAGUGGUGAAAGCAGCAAUGCGCCGAUGGAGUGCCUCGCGGCCUAUCAGCUAGUUGGUGAGGUAACGGCUCACCAAGGCGACGACGGGUAGCUGGUCUGAGAGGAUGGCCAGCCACAUUGGGACUGAGACACCGGCCCAGACCUUCGUAACCGGGGGA
Molecule: ribosomal RNA, 237 nt
Filed under: uncultured bacterium
Lineage: Bacteria
Description: partial 16S ribosomal RNA
Rfam family: Bacterial small subunit ribosomal RNA
Source: RNAcentral